This 800-nucleotide ribosomal RNA is filed under the name uncultured bacterium. RNAcentral describes it as "bacterial SSU rRNA". It matches the Rfam family "Bacterial small subunit ribosomal RNA", at positions 8 to 799 of the family's 1533-position model. The record is from RNAcentral.
AGAGUUUGAUCCUGGCUCAGAUUGAACGCUGGCGGCAUGCCUUACACAUGCAAGUCGAACGGCAGCACGGGAGCAAUCCUGGUGGCGAGUGGCGAACGGGUGAGUAAUAUAUCGGAACGUGCCCAGUCGUGGGGGAUAACGCAGCGAAAGCUGUGCUAAUACCGCAUACGAUCUAUGGAUGAAAGCGGGGGAUCGCAAGACCUCGCGCGAUUGGAGCGGCCGAUAUCAGAUUAGGUAGUUGGUGGGGUAAAGGCCCACCAAGCCGACGAUCUGUAGCUGGUCUGAGAGGACGACCAGCCACACUGGAACUGAGACACGGUCCAGACUCCUACGGGAGGCAGCAGUGGGGAAUUUUGGACAAUGGGCGCAAGCCUGAUCCAGCAAUGCCGCGUGCAGGAUGAAGGCCUUCGGGUUGUAAACUGCUUUUGUACGGAACGAAACGGUCCUUUCUAAUAUAAGGGGCUAAUGACGGUACCGUAAGAAUAAGCACCGGCUAACUACGUGCCAGCAGCCGCGGUAAUACGUAGGGUGCGAGCGUUAAUCGGAAUUACUGGGCGUAAAGCGUGCGCAGGCGGUUAUGUAAGACAGAUGUGAAAUCCCCGGGCUCAACCUGGGACCUGCAUUUGUGACUGCAUAGCUAGAGUACGGUAGAGGGGGAUGGAAUUCCGCGUGUAGCAGUGAAAAUGCGUAGAUAUGCGGAGGAACACCGAUGGCGAAGGCAAUCCCCCUGGACCUGUACUGACGCUCAUGCACGAAAGCGUGGGGGAGCAAACAGGAUUAGAUACCCCUGGUAGUCCACG